RNAcentral lists this ribosomal RNA (733 nucleotides) under uncultured eukaryote. RNAcentral's name for it is "SSU rRNA". It matches the Rfam family "Eukaryotic small subunit ribosomal RNA", at positions 557 to 1295 of the family's 1831-position model. The record is from RNAcentral.
UAGUCUGGUGCCAGCAGCCGCGGUAAUUCCAGCUCCAAUAGCGUAUAUUAAAGUUGUUGCAGUUAAAACGCUCGUAGUCGGAUUUCGGGGCAGGUUUGCCGGUCUGCCGAUGGGUAUGCACUGGUAGAACUGUCCUUCCUUCCGGAGACGGCGCCUACUCUUAACUGAGCGGGUGUCGGAGACGGAUCGUUUACUUUGAAAAAAUCAGAGUGUUUCAAGCAGGCAGCUCGCUUUUGCAUGGAUUAGCAUGGGAUAAUGAAAUAGGACUUUGGUGCUAUUUUGUUGGUUUCGAACACCGAAGUAAUGAUUAACAGGGACAGUCAGGGGCACUCGUAUUCCGCCGAGAGAGGUGAAAUUCUUAGACCAGCGGAAGACGAACCACUGCGAAAGCAUUUGCCAGGGAUGUUUUCACUGAUCAAGAACGAAAGUUAGGGGAUCGAAGACGAUCAGAUACCGUCGUAGUCUUAACCAUAAACCAUGCCGACUAGGGAUUGGAGGAUGUUCCUAUGUGACUCCUUCAGCACCUUUCGGGAAACUAAAGUCUUUGGGUUCCGGGGGGAGUAUGGUCGCAAGGCUGAAACUUAAAGGAAUUGACGGAAGGGCACCNCCAGGAGUGGAGCCUGCGGCUUAAUUUGACUCAACACGGGGAAACUUACCAGGUCCAGACAUUGUGAGGAUUGACAGAUUGAGAGCUCUUUCUUGAUUCGAUGGGUGGUGGUGCAUGGCCGUUCUU